This 497-nucleotide ribosomal RNA is filed under the name uncultured bacterium. Its description in RNAcentral is "partial 16S ribosomal RNA". It matches the Rfam family "Bacterial small subunit ribosomal RNA", at positions 28 to 507 of the family's 1533-position model. The record is from RNAcentral.
GAUGAACGCUGGCGGCGUGCCUAAUACAUGCAAGUCGAGCGAACGGACGAGAAGCUUGCUUCUCUGAUGUUAGCGGCGGACGGGUGAGUAACACGUGGAUAACCUACCUAUAAGCCUGGGAUAACUUCGGGAAACCGGAGCUAAUCCCGGAUAAUAUUUUGAACCGAAUGGUUAAAAAGUGAAAGACGGUCUUGCUGUCACUUAUAGAUGGAUCCGCGCUGCAUUAGCUAGUUGGUAAGGUAACGGCUUACCAAGGCAACGAUGCAUAGCCGACCUGAGAGGGUGAUCGGCCACACUGGAACUGAGACACGGUCCAGACUCCUACGGGAGGCAGCAGUAGGGAAUCUUCCGCAAUGGGCGAAAGCCUGACGGAGCAACGCCGCGUGAGUGAUGAAGGUCUUCGGAUCGUAAAACUCUGUUAUUAGGGAAGAACAUAUGUGUAAGUAACUGUGCACAUCUUGACGGUACCUAAUCAGAAAGCCACGGCUAACUACGUG